RNAcentral lists this ribosomal RNA (468 nucleotides) under uncultured bacterium. RNAcentral's name for it is "partial 16S ribosomal RNA". It matches the Rfam family "Bacterial small subunit ribosomal RNA", at positions 28 to 507 of the family's 1533-position model. The record is from RNAcentral.
GACGAACGCUGGCGGCGUGCUUAACACAUGCAAGUCGAACGGAAAGGCCCUGCGUUUGUGGGGUGCUCGAGUGGCGAACGGGUGAGUAACACGUGAGUAACCUGCCCUUGUCUGUGGGAUAACUUCAGGAAACUGGGGCUAAUACCGGAUAGGAGCUCCUGCUGCAUGGUGGGGGUUGGAAAGUUUCGGCGGUUGGGGAUGGACUCGCGGCUUAUCAGCUUGUUGGUGGGGUAGUGGCUUACCAAGGCUUUGACGGGUAGCCGGCCUGAGAGGGUGACCGGCCACAUUGGGACUGAGAUACGGCCCAGACUCCUACGGGAGGCAGCAGUGGGGAAUAUUGCACAAUGGGCGGAAGCCUGAUGCAGCAACGCCGCGUGCGGGAUGACGGCCUUCGGGUUGUAAACCGCUUUCGCCUGUGACGAAGCGUGAGUGACGGUAAUGGGUAAAGAAGCACCGGCUAACUACGUG